This 253-nucleotide ribosomal RNA is filed under the name uncultured bacterium. Its description in RNAcentral is "partial 16S ribosomal RNA". It matches the Rfam family "Bacterial small subunit ribosomal RNA", at positions 524 to 776 of the family's 1533-position model. The record is from RNAcentral.
UACAGAGGGGGCGAGCGUUGUUCGGAAUUACUGGGCGUAAAGGGCGCGUAGGCGGCCUGCUAAGUCAUACGUGAAAUCCCUCGGCUCAACCGGGGAACUGCGUGUGAUACUGGCGGGCUUGAAUUCGGGAGAGGGAUGCGGAAUUCCAGGUGUAGCGGUGAAAUGCGUAGAUAUCUGGAGGAACACCGGUGGCGAAGGCGGCAUCCUGGACCGAUAUUGACGCUGAUGCGCGAAAGCCAGGGGAGCAAACGGG